GUUCUUCUGGCUAGAUCAUGGUGAGCAAGUGCAACUGGUAGCAGGUGGCAGGGAUCUAACUUCCAGAGCCACUAAUUGGGCACAGCAUUUAAAGCGUGAAUUAAUUUUUGUUGGACACGAGGCGACAGAGCACCUUGAUCGAUGAGGAUUAAUUUUCGAGGAUGAGUACUUUCUAUUCAGGUUAGACAGAAAGUCAUUAUGCAUAUGCUAUGUGGGGAAUUGCAUACAGCAAACGCGGGAAGAAGCAGAACGAGGCAUCGGCACAAUAGGCACGCUCUGUUCGACCAAAAUGAACCAGCGCAGACAUCGUGAUUGGUUCGCUCAAUUCCAGGAUGCUCCAGAUUAGUUUAUUUCAGUUUUAUCCCUUCCAAAAGUCUGGUUUGUUUCAAAGAUUAGAUCAAUGUAAAGGUGGCAUCCUAUAGAAGUAUGGGGGCAUUUCCUAUUCAAAUCAAGCAAGAAUCAGGUUAUAUUCUUCCUCCCUGUUCUUCAGUUCUUUCUGUCACCAUCCACCAGCAGCACGGCUCUGGGGAGGCGAGGCUUGGGACCAUAUGUCCUCCCCUAGAGCAUAUGUGGUGAGUGAUGUAAAUAAGCAAAUAUGACUAGGACCUCCAUGGCAAUUCUUUUUCCUUAAUUUUUCUCCAUUGCUGUAGUCCUUUCAUUUUGUUUCAAUUAUUGCAUAUUGUUUUAAUUAAUUGAACAAUUAUUGUAUAUUAGUCAGGUUUAUGA
This 726-nucleotide small RNA is filed under the name Oryza sativa Japonica Group (Japanese rice). RNAcentral's name for it is "sRNA Os10g0194250". Lineage: Eukaryota; Viridiplantae; Streptophyta; Magnoliopsida; Poales; Poaceae. The record is from RNAcentral.